CCCGCUGAACUUAAGCAUAUCAAUAAGCGGAGGAAAAGAAACUAACAAGGAUUCCCCUAGUAACUGCGAGUGAAGCGGGAAGAGCUCAAAUUUGAAAUCUGGCAGUUGUUGACUGUCCGAGUUGUAAUCUAGAGAAGUGUUACCAGUGCAGGACCGUGUACAAGUCUCCUGGAAUGGGGCAUCAUAGAGGGUGAGAAUCCCGUCUUUGGCACGGACUACCUGUACAUCAUGGUGCGCUCUCAAAGAGUCGAGUUGUUUGGGAAUGCAGCUCAAAAUGGGUGGUAAAUGCCAUCUAAAGCUAAAUAUUGGCGAGAGACCGAUAGCGAACAAGUACCGUGAGGGAAAGAUGAAAAGAACUUUGGAAAGAGAGUUAAACAGUACGUGAAAUUGCUGAAAGGGAAACGCUUGAAGUCAGUCACGUUGGCUAGAAAUCAACCUUGCUUUUGCUUGGUGCACUUUCUGGUUCGAUGGGUCAGCAUCAAUUUUGACUGUGGAAAAAAGGUCAAGGGAAUGUGGCAUCUUCGGAUGUGUUAUAGCCCUUGGUCACAUACAAUGGUUGGGAUUGAGGAACUCAGCACGCCGCAAGGCCGGGUUUUAAACCACGUACGUGCUUAGGAUGCUGGCAAUAUGGCUUUAAUCGACCCGUCUUGAAACACGG
RNAcentral lists this ribosomal RNA (658 nucleotides) under uncultured fungus. Its description in RNAcentral is "eukaryotic LSU rRNA". It matches the Rfam family "Eukaryotic large subunit ribosomal RNA", at positions 24 to 664 of the family's 3401-position model. Lineage: Eukaryota; Fungi. The record is from RNAcentral.